This 537-nucleotide ribosomal RNA is filed under the name uncultured bacterium. RNAcentral's name for it is "bacterial SSU rRNA". It matches the Rfam family "Bacterial small subunit ribosomal RNA", at positions 102 to 674 of the family's 1533-position model. The record is from RNAcentral.
ACGGGUGAGUAACACGUGGGAACAUACCCUUCGGUUCGGAACAACGCCGGGAAACUGGCGCUAAUACCGGAUACGGCUUGAGGGCGAAAGAUUCAUCGCCGAAGGAUUGGCCCGCGUUCGAUUAGCUUGUUGGUGAGGUAACGGCUCACCAAGGCGACGAUCGAUAGCUGGUCUGAGAGGAUGGCCAGCCACAUUGGGACUGAGACACGGCCCAAACUCCUACGGGAGGCAGCAGUGGGGAAUAUUGGACAAUGGGCGCAAGCCUGAUCCAGCCAUGCCGCGUGAGUGAUGACGGCCUUAGGGUUGUAAAGCUCUUUCGCACGCGACGAUAAUGACGGUAGCGUGAGAAGAAGCCCCGGCUAACUUCGUGCCAGCAGCCGCGGUAAUACGAAGGGGGCUAGCGUUGUUCGGAAUCACUGGGCGUAAAGGGUGCGUAGGCGGGAUCUUAAGUCAGGGGUGAAAUCCCGAGGCUCAACCUCGGAACUGCCUUUGAUACUGGGGUCCUUGAGUCCGGAAGAGGUGAGUGGAACUGCGAGU